Molecule: ribosomal RNA, 272 nt
Filed under: uncultured bacterium
Lineage: Bacteria
Description: partial 16S ribosomal RNA
Rfam family: Bacterial small subunit ribosomal RNA
Source: RNAcentral
GUCCACGCCCUAAACGAUGUCAACUAGACCCGGGAGGCACUGACGCCAUCCGGAUCGAAGCUAAAGUGCUAAGUUGACCGCCUGGGGAGUACGGUCGCAAGGCUAAAAACUCAAAAGGAAUUGACGGGGCUCACACAAGCGGUGGAGCAUGUGGCUCAAUUCGAAGCAAACGCGAAGAACCUUAUCCUGGGCUUGACAUGUAUGGAUUAGCCUCCUGAAAGGGAGUGACACCCGCAAGGGCGGAACAUACACAGGUGCUGCAUGGCUGUCGU